AAAUGACUGCUAAUACCGCAUAAGCGCACAGUACCUACAUGGUUCGGUGUGAAAAACUCCGGUGGUAUAAGAUGGACCCGCGUUGGAUUAGCUAGUUGGUGAGGUAACGGCCCACCAAGGCGACGAUCCAUAGCCGACCUGAGAGGGUGAUCGGCCACAUUGGGACUGAGACACGGCCCAGACUCCUACGGGAGGCAGCAGUGGGGAAUAUUGCACAAUGGGGGAAACCCUGAUGCAGCGACGCCGCGUGAAGGAAGAAGUAUCUCGGUAUGUAAAGUUCUAUCAGCAGGGAAGAAAAUGACGGUACCUGACUAAGAAGCCCCGGCUAACUACGUGCCAGCAGCCGCGGUAAUACGUAGGGGGCAAGCGUUAUCCGGAUUUACUGGGUGUAAAGGGAGCGUAGACGGCUGCACAAGUCUGAUGUGAAAGCCUAGGGCUCAACCCCGGGAUGGCAUUGGAAACUGCCCAUCUAGAGUACCGGAGAGGUAAGCGGAAUUCCUAGUGUAGCGGUGAAAUGCGUAGAUAUUAGGAGGAACACCAGUGGC
RNAcentral lists this ribosomal RNA (545 nucleotides) under uncultured Lachnospiraceae bacterium. RNAcentral's name for it is "bacterial SSU rRNA". It matches the Rfam family "Bacterial small subunit ribosomal RNA", at positions 154 to 716 of the family's 1533-position model. The record is from RNAcentral. Lineage: Bacteria; Bacillati; Bacillota; Clostridia; Lachnospirales; Lachnospiraceae.